AUGCUUCUGAUGUGCUGUUCUGCUCUUCAUGGUAGCAGGGUUGUUCCACCCAGGCUGAUGAAGACAGACAGGGUAAAUGAAACUGGAACCAGGUCUGACAUGUCUCUGGUGGAUAUACUAAUCUCAAGCCACUCGGAGCAGCUCAGAGGGGAAGGAAAGCUGCUACAUUUCAUUGUCCUCAAAAGAGGGGAGAAAAAUCCGACUCGUGCUCCCAACCCAAACAACUCUGCUGCCUCGUGCAUUCUUGACAGCCAGGAAGGCUCCCUUGAAACCGUCUGUAGCCUUUAACUCCCUCCUAACAAGUUGGCCAUUUCCAAAGAGAAGAUUUUUUCUCCACUGAUUUAUGAGCUUUAAUUUAUAUGCAAGCCUGGAAUACUUGCUUUGGGAAGAGUUCUACCUCCAGCCAAGCGAGGGCUGAGAUGCAGAGUGUUUUGCGUGGUAUGUUCGGUAUUUCCACGGCACACUCUGCAGCAGCCCAAAACACCCCAAUUUCAGAGCCAGCAUGGUUGUAGGUGGUGCUGAACACUCUCCUCCAAAGCCUGGCUAGGCCAAGAAGUUGCAUUACUGAACUGGGUGGGUUAAGAGCUUUGGGAAGCCUGCAUGACCCAGGCAGGCACAGUCUGUAAGUGAGGAGGCACUGAAGUGGCCUGGGCUCCCAUGCAGUCCCUGCGUGAUCUGGGACAUUGUUUGACCAGGUUUCCAUGGGUGGUAAUGGGAUUUUCCAAUCUGGAGCUGACUCACCAGAGCCUGGGUGUAGGUAGGAUUGUGCAGACUCUGCUGUUUCCUUUGGAAAUGAUGGAGAACAUUUGGUCCUCUGCAUCAGGUCAGGAGCUCCUGACUGGCUUGUGGUGCCUGGUGAUCUGCACCCUGAGGCCUGGUACCAUCCCAAACUGCUUUUAGGAGAAUCCAGAUUGCUGCUACUGCAUCUCACCUGGAGGGUGGUACCUUCUACCUGAAGGGUAGUGGAUUUUAUCAACACAUUACUAAUUUCACCGUAGGCAAUGUAGGAGCAACAUGUUUUCCAUCCACAGGUUUGUUAUCGCCACUUGUGCUGUGUUACACAUGCACAUGAGAGCGUUGGCUCCUGGGUCCUUAAAACCUUGGGAGCCAUGGUGAAACCUCUGGAGUUUCGUGGAACCUUCAGUGCUUGACUGGAGUGGAAGGGGGCACAUCAAGCCCCAUAGGCUGGAUUCACUGAUUUAGUUCUGGAUGGAGAUGCUUGCAAAUCCUGGAGCUGGUGAGACCUGUUGUCUUGGUGGGUCACCCACACAAGAGCUGUGAGCUUGCA
RNAcentral lists this long non-coding RNA (1288 nucleotides) under Cyanistes caeruleus (blue tit). RNAcentral's name for it is "lncRNA (ENSCCEG00000013464.1)". Lineage: Eukaryota; Metazoa; Chordata; Aves; Passeriformes; Paridae. The record is from RNAcentral.